RNAcentral lists this small RNA (97 nucleotides) under Salmonella enterica. Its description in RNAcentral is "partial RtT sRNA". It matches the Rfam family "RtT RNA", at positions 1 to 96 of the family's 130-position model. From Rfam's summary of the family: This family represents a bacterial cis-regulatory element known as RtT RNA. Lineage: Bacteria; Pseudomonadati; Pseudomonadota; Gammaproteobacteria; Enterobacterales; Enterobacteriaceae. The record is from RNAcentral. RNAcentral also lists the same sequence under 1 other name.
AUAUCUCUCCGUACGGGAAGGAUGAGAAGCUUCGACUAAGGUUCGAUUCGAGCGCAGCGAGAAAGCGUUGCCGCAGGCAACGACCCGAAGGGUGAAG